CGGCAGCGACAACACGGACACGGAGGGCAGCUAGAGCUGGGCCGAACGUCCCGUUACCGGCCCCGUCAAUAAACACUGAGCGCUCACAGCGGUGCCGUUACCGUCGGGAUGGGGGAGGCGGCCUAUGUGGGGCCGACCGCGCAGCCUCAGCGCCGCCUCUUGUGCGCCUGCGCGGCCGCCAUGUUGAGGCGCUUGGUGCGGGUGGCAGCGCGGGCCGCGCUCGGCUCCUCAGCGCCUCCACAGCGGCGGCCAUUGCCCCGCAGUGUGUGCACCGCACCGCCGGGCAGCGUGGGGCGGCUGCAGCCAUCGCAUUACCGCCUGGUGUACACCUGCAAGGUGUGCCGGCGCCGCUCGGCUCAGAACAUCUCCCGCUUGGCCUACAGCCGAGGAGUCGUCAUCGUUACGUGCCCAGGGUGUCACAACCAUCAUAUAAUCGCUGAUAACCUGGGCUGGUUCUCCGACCUGCAGGGCAAGAGGAAUAUCGAGGAGAUCCUGGCAGCCAAAGGGGAGAAGGUGAGACGUGUGCUUGGUGAGGAAGCCCUGGAGCUGCUCCCAGAAGGUGUGACGGAUGCUGACCCUCAGAGCCGUCCUACAGAGGGAGAAAGUGGGGACCCUCCAGAGACUGACAACAAGGGACGAACCUGACAGUGGGAUUGGUGUCAUUCUGAUGCCAAGAGAGACUUUCAUGUUUCUUGAUCUCAAUGGACCGUGCUUGGAAUAAAAGCAGGUGUGGCACUAACUGGAGGCUCUGGCAGUGUCCUCUGGCCUUGUCCAGGUGUUGCCCAUCAGCAGCUGAUUGCAGUGCUCCAGGAGGUGCAUAGGGUGGCAGCUGAACAGAAGAGUCAUUUGGGACCACCAAAGGACAUGGCCCUGACCACAGGGGAGGUGUAUCUUUCUGGAACAAAGGGAAGAAGCCUGUUGGAGCUGCUGGAGCUGCGGUGUGAUGGGGACCCAUGAUGCCUGAGCCUGGAGCAGCAGAGCAUGGUGUGUGGCUGAUAGCUCUGUGCAUGUCCCUGGGCUGUGAUCUUCAGUGCUGCUGAAUACUGAGCUCGUUGCUGCAGAACCAUGCAGGAGUUAACCCAUGGAUCUGUCCUGGCCUAGCAGCAGUCAGGAAUCCUCUGUGGAGAACCUCUGAAAGCUGCUGCUGGCUCCAGUCUGGAAUUUACAGUGCUGGGAUGCUCAGAGCCAGCAGCCCCCUCCCCCAUGGGCUGUGUGCCCUUCCAGCCCGAUGGAGAUCAUGGCUGAGGCAGGAGCACGAGGCUCAGGAGAGGGUUGAGGUAUGAGCUAGGUGGGGAUAUACGUGGCUGUGCACAUCCUCCUGCUUGAUCUCCAGCUCUCUGACCUGGCCCAGGAAGGAGGCAGAGGUUCAGCCCAGUGCUCUGUGCAGCAGGUGAGUGUUCCCUGUUGGCAACCAAAAUGCAGCUACCCCUCCCAUGGUCAAUACAGGCAGGUUCAAUGCCUGGUGAGCAGCGGCACUGGUCUGAAGAAUCUUAACGCUGGUUGGAAAUGUUUCUAUCAAAUGCAUUUCGAUUAGAAAGUGCUGAUUUGUUCCCUGUAGGAAACACAUCUGCUUUGGCAGAACUCAAUACUGGAGUUUCUGAAGUCCAGGAUCACCUCUCUGGUCAAGCAUUCCACCUCCUGCAGUUUGAUCUCUGCUGCCCUCUUCUCUGAGCUUGCAUUUCCAACUUUACCAAAAGGAAUGAAAAUAAACUUAGACCCUUACAUUUGUGUGCAGGGUGAAACUGACUUCCCAGUAACAAUUCCAGCCCGGAGCUGUCACCAAGGCUCCAUUUCUUACUGGUGUGGGACCAGACAGUGUGCAGAAUAAAGACUGCUGUGCUGAGAGCAGCUCUGCUGGGGCACUGAGCAGCACAGCACUGGUUUCUUUCAGGUGAAACAAGGGGAGAGAAGUGCUAUUGUCCUCCACUGGUGGAUGCAGGGAAUAGUUCUGCUUGCUUUCAUGACAAGCCAUGGCCAGAAAACUUUGCUGGCUCACAGAACAGGUCAGUGCCGGAUGCAGGUUUCUGCCUUAAGCAUGCUGGACAGUCCCAUGUGAAUCUUCUGGCUCAGCUGUACCAGAAACAAUUAGUUCAGCUAAGUUUGAUUUCUGUGCUGAAUAGAUGGGCCUUUCUUCCUUCUUUCCAAGGUACCAGCUCUUCUGUCUUGUGGCUGCAGUGCAGGCUGCAUAGCUGGCACUUACCUUUCAGGCUUUGUCCCAUGCUUGCUCUGUGGAGGUCUCCAGAUCCCACUAAGGGUUAAACUGGAAGAGCUCCAUCUCUUGCUUUGGAGCUUCUGGCACAACUCUGUACAGAAGCAGCUGAGGAAGCAGAAGGGACAAGCAUAAAGCUCUCACUGCAGAGUUCAUUGCACCCCAGAACAAACUUCAGAGGGUGGGGGACCAUGGCUGCAGCCAGGGGGAGGGGGUGAGCUUUAAAAGGUCUUGUGUAGCUUCUGAUUUGGGCUCAUUUCCAUCUGCAGAAAGAACAACACCGAUGAAGAUGUUCCAGGAAAGGAUCCAGAACAAUUUGUGUCAUCUCAUGACGCAGAUGUGAUUGCAAAAUGGAAAAGGUCCUCUUCCCUAUUAAAAGUAUUUCAGAAAUAAAGAAGAUUGAGGCUGCAUUUAA
Non-coding RNA from Coturnix japonica (Japanese quail), 2624 nucleotides. NCBI's taxonomy places the organism in Eukaryota, Metazoa, Chordata, Aves, Galliformes, Phasianidae. The record is from RefSeq and is a predicted model, not a curated record.